UAACACAAAAGCUAAAGGGAGGAAACGCACAGCACAUAUACUAGAUUGAAGCAGAAGCUAAGGAAAAAUAUCUUUCUACCAAAGAAGGAAACAUUAGAAUUAGUUAAUUUGAAAUUGAAACCCCAAUAUCGUGAUUGUUGAUUCAAGGGAUUUCCUGUACAUCCUUGGAUUUCUUUCUCUGGAGAAGAACAAGGUAAAAAUCGAAUUUUCUCUAUACCAAGCCUAUGAACAAUUAUUGUUUCUUUAACUAAGGGUAAAGACAAGAAAAGGGAACUUAAUUUAAUCUGUAUAGCUAUUAAGAAUACUUGUUAGAUGAAUAAAUAUUUCAUAAUUAUAACAAACAUUGUAGUGUAAGGAUAUUAAGUAUUUGUUAAACAUUAUGUGAUAAAAAAAAAGAUUCAAAUAAAAAUAUAAGAACAAACUGAGAACUAUAGUUUCUAUCCAAUUAAGAGCUAGUAAAUUACUUAGCGAAUAAAAAUAUAAGAACAAACGGAGAACUAUAGUUUCUAUCCAAUUAAGCGCUAGUAAAUUACUUAGCGGAGAAUCAAUGGUCCAAUUUCAAAGGUAUGAGAACAGAAAAUUAAUUAAAGGUGGCAGGGAUGAACCAAUUAUGUUGGUAAUUCACGAAAUUAAUACAUAGAUUGAAUUUUUUACAAAUCGGUAGUUGAAGAAAUUGAACAAAGUGCUCAUGGUGACACAUUUGGUAUUCCUGCACUAGUACUGUGAGUAGUAAUCUUACCGCAAUUUAUGUUUUUCAUAACUUGCAUGAUUUACACAUAAUUAUUUUUAUGUGAAUAUGUUAUAGAUUAAUUUGAGUUGCAUUUGGGACAAGUCUUUAACUCGAUAUGAUACCGAAAUAGUUAUUUGAGAUGAUUACCAUUAUUUUAAAUAUUCUUGUUGUCACUAGAUAUGUUCUAUCAUUACUUGAAAUAUUUGUUAGUGAAAUGAAAUUGCAUGAUUUGAUAAGAACCAAAAUGUCCUAUAUGUUUUAAAAUAUUUUCUUAUAAAUAUAUACGGAUACAGAGACAAGUAUAAAUGGGACUAGACUUUGAAGGAUCCUGUAGCUAACGGCGGGUUUGUUAGACAUGGUGCACCUUGUAAUUAUCGAUUACCGUAAUAGCCCUCGCUAGUGGGAAGGUAGAACUAGCAUACUGUUACCGAUUUCCCUUGAGUAGGGACUACCGUUAUAUUUGACUUCUUGCGAAGAAGUCCACAAUUAUACGGAUUAUAUAAUCCGUAUUUAAACCUCCCAAAAUAUGAAUAUUGAUAUUAUACAAUUAUUUUAUUUGACUUCUUGCGAAGAAGUCCACAGUUAUACCGAUUACAUGAUCCAUAUUGAACCUCCCAAAAAUACGAAUACUGAUAUUAUACAGUGGUUACCGAGCUUAUUACUGAAUUGUUAAUUAUAUUUUACUACAAGAAAAGCGUAAUGAGACUGAAAAAAAUUAUUUAUUAUUUCUGAAAGGGCAUGUUUAUAUUAUAUUCUCUUUGAGAUACUAGCAUGUUUCUGACUUGUCCCCAAAUAAAAACAGUUGUGGUUAAGUAUUAUUACUCACUGAGCUAGUGACUCAUUCCCCUCUAUUUUUUUCAGAGACAACAGUUGACACAGGCGAGCAAUUUGUUAAUUAGAGCGCACAGGUUGAAAAUUCUUGUGAGCCUCGCACUUGUUCGCAUGGACAGAGAUUUUAUCAAUUGUUAUGGUCUUUCUUUGAAUUCUUAGAGUUGCUCCAUAGUCAUUAUUUUAGUGUCGUGAGUAUUAUUUUGCUAUUAGUCUUAUGUUGAGUAUCGUUCUGUAGUAUUAA
RNAcentral lists this long non-coding RNA (1802 nucleotides) under Nicotiana benthamiana. RNAcentral's name for it is "long non-coding RNA (NBEN_LNC016036)". The record is from RNAcentral. Lineage: Eukaryota; Viridiplantae; Streptophyta; Magnoliopsida; Solanales; Solanaceae.